ACGUCUACGAGUUUGAUCCUGGCUCAGAUUGAACGCUGGCGGCAUGCUUUACACAUGCAAGUCGAACGGUAACGGGGACCUCGGUCUGCCGACGAGUGGCGAACGGGUGAGUAAUAUAUCGGAACGUGCCCAGUAAGUGGGGGAUAGCUCGGCGAAAGCCGGAUUAAUACCGCAUACGCCCUGAGGGGAAAGUGGGGGAUCUUCGGACCUCACGUUAUUGGAGCGGCCGAUAUCAGAUUAGCUAGUUGGUGGGGUAAAGGCCUACCAAGGCGACGAUCUGUAGCUGGUCUGAGAGGAUGAUCAGCCACACUGGGACUGAGACACGGCCCAGACUCCUACGGGAGGCAGCAGUGGGGAAUUUUGGACAAUGGGCGAAAGCCUGAUCCAGCCAUGCCGCGUGAGUGAAGAAGGCCUUCGGGUUGUAAAGCUCUUUCAGGUGGAAAGAAAGCGGAUGGGUUAAUACCCUGUCCGGAUGACGGUACCACCAGAAGAAGCACCGGCUAACUACGUG
Molecule: ribosomal RNA, 511 nt
Filed under: uncultured bacterium
Lineage: Bacteria
Description: bacterial SSU rRNA
Rfam family: Bacterial small subunit ribosomal RNA
Source: RNAcentral